GUAUGAAACAUAGAUGUUGAACGAUUCUCAGACCUACCCGAUAUGCUCACAAAAUUUAAUAAAAACCGGUCCAACCGUUUCGGAGGAGUAUUGUAACUAACAUUUUGACACGAGAAUUUCAUAUGUAAGAUUAAAAAAAAAGUAAUUGUGACAUUAUUUUAAUUUAUCCCUGCAAAAAUAUUAUCAAGCUACUACUUGAUACUUAAGUAUAACUACAUAUUCAAAAAACAGAUAUAAAUAUCCCCCCUACACCUCUCUUGAUAUGUGGUGAGGUCGUAGACUAUAAACAUCACAUUUAUUAAGUAUUUUUUGGUUAUGUACUUUAUAUUGAAAUUUUCAGAAUCUUAUCUAUCGACAUAUCCGCCAACCCGCAUUUGAGUAGCGUGAUGGAUUAAGCUCUGAUCCUUCUCCCACAUGGAGAAAGA
This 425-nucleotide unclassified non-coding RNA is filed under the name Melitaea cinxia (Glanville fritillary). Its description in RNAcentral is "misc RNA ENSMCXG00005001087.1". Lineage: Eukaryota; Metazoa; Arthropoda; Insecta; Lepidoptera; Nymphalidae. The record is from RNAcentral.